UCUGUCAACUAAAGGGCAAACCUUUAACUAGCUUUUUUAAAGGCUAUCAUGCUGAACUGUAACAGCAUAAGUGACAGUGCAUACAUAGAAGCAAUUGGCGCAAUCAGUUGUAAUUGGCUUUUCAAUUUGCAUAUGUAUAGGGUAAAAAAAUUCAGACAAACGUCAGUAAGAAUUGCGCUCUUAUUGGCGUUU
This 192-nucleotide non-coding RNA is filed under the name unclassified sequences. RNAcentral describes it as "FuFi-1 RNA". The stretch from base 27 to 192 matches the Rfam family "FuFi-1 RNA". The record is from Rfam by way of RNAcentral.